RNAcentral lists this long non-coding RNA (1409 nucleotides) under Vigna radiata. Its description in RNAcentral is "long non-coding RNA (VRAD_LNC002150)". The record is from RNAcentral. Lineage: Eukaryota; Viridiplantae; Streptophyta; Magnoliopsida; Fabales; Fabaceae.
AGCAGUUGGUCGAUCUGCACUAUCAUAGUUUGAGUCAUUUGAUUUGUGUUUUAAAUCUGAUCUGGCAUUUAGAUCAUUGCUGGAUAUCUAACAUUAAUUCCAUAGUGUUUUGUUCAAUUUUUNUUUGUUGUUUUGGAGUCUAAUUCAGUGCUUAGAUUCCAUUUGAUUCAGUGUGCUCGAAAUUAGUUGCUUGCAUUGGUGUUAAAAAGAGAACUCAAUCAGUGAAUUUUUGAAAUACUGAUAUUUGGUAUCAAUUGGCAGCACAUACAAGUUUAUAUCCCUCAUUUGGACUUGCUCGUGUUGUAAAAUUUGAGUGUUUACCAAUCUGGUGCAGAUUUCCCUUUCAAUCCAUAAUUUCAGCACUUAAAAAAAAGGUUUAAACCAUUUAGUUGUCCCUAUUUUUGGGAGGUUUUCCCAUUUUGAUCCCCGUCUUAUUAGAAUCCCCAAUUGAGUCCCUAUAAAUGCUAAUUUCAAUCAAUUAAGCCCCUGCCGUUAAAUUUAGGUAACGGGGUUAACUUUUUUGCACAGCUGGAAGGAUGACCUGUUAAUUUCUGUAAACGUGACCUAUUUAGAGUUGAAACGUGGCAUUAAUUAGAGUUGAAAUUGAUUGAAAUUAGCACUUAUGAGACUCAAUUCAUGCCACUUUUCAACUCUAAAUAGGCCACAUUUAUAGAAAUUAACAGGUCAUCCUCCCAGCUGUGCAAAAAAGUUAAUCUCGUUAACUAAAUUUAACGGCAGAGGCUUAAUUCAUUGAAAUUAACACGUGUAGGGACUCAAUUGGGGAUUCGAAUAAGACGGGGAUCAAAAUGGGAAAACCUUCCGAAAAUAGGGACAACUAAAUGGAUUAAACCUAAAAAAAAUUCUUUCUGAUACAAGUUGUUUUCCUUUGUUAAGGCAUAUGUGAUUACUAAUUCUGUGUAUCUUUAAUUGAAUGAGAAUUGGCAGCAAAAGCAUGGUUUAAUUGCAAUAUAAGAUCUGCUCAACAGUAAAAAGAAAUUCAUAAGCAGAAAUAAAAAGUUGAAUCAAAACCGUGCCAGUUCUGGUUUAGUUAAUGUACCAAUUUCAGUAGAAAUAAAUCAGGCAUUUUAACAAACAGUUUUGCCUAAUUGCCAUUUGAUCUUGAAUUGAUCUUAAGCAACUUGUAAAUGUUUCUUGAUUUCUUAAUCCUCUCUAGAGCUAAUCUUAGGUUCAUUUUGAGUACUUUCCUUUUUGAUAGCUUGGUUUCUUGCUUGUCUUUGUUGAAAUUCUGGUUGUGUCUACAUCAUUUGUGUACUUAGUUCUGCUGUUCAUAAUUGAAUCCUUUUGUUGGUUUCUUAAUUUGAUCUUGAGUCAGCUGUUUUGUCACUCAUUGCCUUGUGCUUAACUGUUGAGUAAUUUGUUCUGUCUCUGCCCACCAUCUUGUUUAGCCU